AGUGAACGCUGGCGGUAGGCCUAACACAUGCAAGUCGAACGGCAGCACAGUAAGAGCUUGCUCUUACGGGUGGCGAGUGGCGGACGGGUGCGGAAUACAUCGGAAUCUACUUUUUCGUGGGGGAUAACGUAGGGAAACUUACGCUAAUACCGCAUACGACCUACGGGUGAAAGCAGGGGAUCUUCGGACCUUGCGCGACUGAAUGAGCCGAUGUCGGAUUAGCUAGUUGGCGGGGUAAAGGCCCACCAAGGCGACGAUCCGUAGCUGGUCUGAGAGGAUGAUCAGCCACACUGGAACUGAGACACGGUCCAGACUCCUACGGGAGGCAGCAGUGGGGAAUAUUGGACAAUGGGCGCAAGCCUGAUCCAGCCAUACCGCGUGGGUGAAGAAGGCCUUCGGGUUGUAAAGCCCUUUUGUUGGGAAAGAAAAGCAGCAGGUUAAUACCCCGCUGUUCUGACGGUACCCAAAGAAUAAGCACCGGCUAACUUCGUG
RNAcentral lists this ribosomal RNA (492 nucleotides) under uncultured bacterium. RNAcentral's name for it is "partial 16S ribosomal RNA". It matches the Rfam family "Bacterial small subunit ribosomal RNA", at positions 29 to 507 of the family's 1533-position model. The record is from RNAcentral.